AACGACUUUUUCCGAUCUACGAGUGAUGAAUAGGAGGGAAUUAAAUUCCCUUCAAUUUAUCUCAAUACAUCUCUAAUCGAGCUCUUUUAGCAACCUGAGAUCCCGGGAGGAUCCGGCCCAAUCCCUACCGGUGAUUUCGCCGCACGGUGAUUUCGCUGAGCACGAGCACUCCCUCGCACCUGCGUGCUCAGUGAAGCACCGGAGCUUCCUCGCGCACGGCUGCCUCCUCUUCUUCGCGCAAGCACCGGAUCUUCCUCCUCUUCUUUAUGCAAGGCAUUAGAUCUCCCUUCUCUUCUCUUCUCUGGAGAGCUUUUUCUGGAGCUUGGGCGUGAGGAUCCUGCAGGCCGGUGGCGUGGAGCGCGCGUUCCGGCGCGCCUUGUCAGCCGAGAAAGUCGAGCUGGUGAAGUCCCUCCACUCUACACCACCGGCGGGCCCAUAGCACGGCAGCCUCAGCCCCCGCGCGGUGAGCUAAUCUAUUGUCGGCAUGGAUGUAGUCACUCCACUUCAGAAAAGAGUCAGUUGCAUGGCUCCUGGCGAACAUUGGACAUGUUUAUUUUGUUACCUUUGCUGUUACAAAUUUGGCACUCAUUUAUUUUGAGCGUUGCGUGGUCAAAGAAAGAAGGUUGUUUAUUUGAGUGGCAUGAAUAAAAAAGUCUUAUUAACUGAGUGUGAGUGUUUUGAUGAUGAACAUAAAAUGACCUCCGACUG
RNAcentral lists this long non-coding RNA (708 nucleotides) under Zea mays. RNAcentral describes it as "drought-responsive long non-coding RNA". The record is from RNAcentral. Lineage: Eukaryota; Viridiplantae; Streptophyta; Magnoliopsida; Poales; Poaceae.